Molecule: ribosomal RNA, 488 nt
Filed under: uncultured bacterium
Lineage: Bacteria
Description: partial 16S ribosomal RNA
Rfam family: Bacterial small subunit ribosomal RNA
Source: RNAcentral
UGGGGAAUAUUGGACAAUGGGCGGAAGCCUGAUCCAGCAACGCCGCGUGAGGGAUGACGGCCUUCGGGUUGUAAACCUCUUUCAGCACAGACGAAGCGCAAGUGACGGUAUGUGCAGAAGAAGGACCGGCCAACUACGUGCCAGCAGCCGCGGUAAUACGUAGGGUCCGAGCGUUGUCCGGAAUUAUUGGGCGUAAAGGGCUCGUAGGCGGUUUGUCGCGUCGGGAGUGAAAACACCGGGCUUAACUCGGUGCUUGCUUUCGAUACGGGCAGACUAGAGGCAUUCAGGGGAGAACGGAAUUCCUGGUGUAGCGGUGAAAUGCGCAGAUAUCAGGAGGAACACCGGUGGCGAAGGCGGUUCUCUGGGAAUGUCCUGACGCUGAGGAGCGAAAGUGUGGGGAGCGAACAGGAUUAGAUACCCUGGUAGUCCACACCGUAAACGUUGGGCGCUAGGUGUGGGAUCCAUUCCACGGGUUCCGUGCCGCAGCU